AGGACGAACGCUGGCGGCGUGCUUAACACAUGCAAGUCGAGCGGAAAGGCCCUUCGGGGUACUCGAGCGGCGAACGGGUGAGUAACACGUGAGCAACCUGCCCCUGGCUCUGGGAUAGCCUCCGGAAACGGGGAUUAAUACCGGAUAUUCACUGUCUCCUGCAUGGGGGGUGGUGGAAAGUUUUUCGGCUAGGGUGGGGCUCGCGGCCUAUCAGCUUGUUGGGGGGGUGACGGCCCACCAAGGCGACGACGGGUAGCCGGCCUGAGAGGGCGACCGGCCACACUGGGACUGAGACACGGCCCAGACUCCUACGGGAGGCAGCAGUGGGGAAUAUUGCGCAAUGGGCGGAAGCCUGACGCAGCGACGCCGCGUGCGGGAUGAAGGCCUUCGGGUUGUAAACCGCUUUCACCAGGGACGAAGCGGAAGUGACGGUACCGUGGGGAAGAAGGCGCCGGCUAACGUACGUGCCAGCAGCCGC
RNAcentral lists this ribosomal RNA (478 nucleotides) under uncultured bacterium. RNAcentral's name for it is "SSU rRNA". It matches the Rfam family "Bacterial small subunit ribosomal RNA", at positions 26 to 518 of the family's 1533-position model. The record is from RNAcentral.